Molecule: ribosomal RNA, 481 nt
Filed under: Klebsiella pneumoniae
Lineage: Bacteria; Pseudomonadati; Pseudomonadota; Gammaproteobacteria; Enterobacterales; Enterobacteriaceae
Description: partial 23S ribosomal RNA
Rfam family: Bacterial large subunit ribosomal RNA
Source: RNAcentral
UAGCUAAUCCUGGUCGGACAUCAGGAGGUUAGUGCAAUGGCAUAAGCUAGCUUGACUGCGAGCGUGACGGCGCGAGCAGGUGCGAAAGCAGGUCAUAGUGAUCCGGUGGUUCUGAAUGGAAGGGCCAUCGCUCAACGGAUAAAAGGUACUCCGGGGAUAACAGGCUGAUACCGCCCAAGAGUUCAUAUCGACGGCGGUGUUUGGCACCUCGAUGUCGGCUCAUCACAUCCUGGGGCUGAAGUAGGUCCCAAGGGUAUGGCUGUUCGCCAUUUAAAGUGGUACGCGAGCUGGGUUUAGAACGUCGUGAGACAGUUCGGUCCCUAUCUGCCGUGGGCGCUGGAGAAUUGAGGGGGGCUGCUCCUAGUACGAGAGGACCGGAGUGGACGCAUCACUGGUGUUCGGGUUGUCAUGCCAAUGGCACUGCCCGGUAGCUAAAUGCGGAAGAGAUAAGUGCUGAAAGCAUCUAAGCACGAAACUUGCC